Molecule: ribosomal RNA, 862 nt
Filed under: Dendryphion sp.
Lineage: Eukaryota; Fungi; Ascomycota; Dothideomycetes; Pleosporales; Torulaceae
Description: partial large subunit ribosomal RNA
Rfam family: Eukaryotic large subunit ribosomal RNA
Source: RNAcentral
CCGAGGAAAGAACCAACAGGGAUUGCCUCAGUACCGGCGAGUGAAGCGGCAACAGCUCAAAUUUGAAAUCUGGCCCCUUCGGGGUCCGAGUUGUAAUUUGCAGAGGGUGCUUUUGGUGUUGGCCGUGGUCUAAGUUCCUUGGAACAGGACGUCACAGAGGGUGAGAAUCCCGUACGUGGCCGCCGGCCCUCGCCUUGUAAAGCCCCUUCGACGAGUCGAGUUGUUUGGGAAUGCAGCUCUAAAUGGGAGGUAAAUUUCUUCUAAAGCUAAAUACCCGCCAGAGACCGAUAGCGCACAAGUAGAGUGAUCGAAAGAUGAAAAGCACUUUGGAAAGAGAGUGAAAAAGCACGUGAAAUUGUUGAAAGGGAAGCGCUUGCGGCCAGACGUGCCCGCGGUUGUUCAUCUGGGCUCUCGCCCGGUGCACUCCUCCGCGGGCAGGCCAGCAUCAGUUUGGGCGGUCGGACAAAGGUCUCUAUCACGUACCACCCCUCGGGGUGGCCUUAUAGGGGAGACGCAACACGGCCAGCCUGGACUGAGGUUCCGCGCAUCUGCUAGGAUGCUGGCGUAAUGGCAGCAAGCGGCCCGUCUUGAAACACGGACCAAGGAGUCUAACAUCUAUGCGAGUGUUUGGGUGUCAAGCCCGAGCGCGUAAUGAAAGUGAACGGAGGUGGGAACCCCUCGGGGCGCACCAUCGACCGAUCCUGAUGUCUUCGGAUGGAUUUGAGUAAGAGCAUAGCUGUUGGGACCCGAAAGAUGGUGAACUAUGCCUGAAUAGGGUGAAGCCAGAGGAAACUCUGGUGGAGGCUCGCAGCGGUUCUGACGUGCAAAUCGAUCGUCAAAUUUGGGCAUAGGGGCGAAAGAC